GAUGAACGCUGGCGGCGUGCCUAAUACAUGCAAGUCGAGCGAACAGACGAGGAGCUUGCUCCUCUGACGUUAGCGGCGGACGGGUGAGUAACACGUGGAUAACCUACCUAUAAGACUGGGAUAACUUCGGGAAACCGGAGCUAAUACCGGAUAAUAUAUUGAACCGCAUGGUUCAAUAGUGAAAGACGGUUUUGCUGUCACUUAUAGAUGGAUCCGCGCCGCAUUAGCUAGUUGGUAAGGUAACGGCUUACCAAGGCAACGAUGCGUAGCCGACCUGAGAGGGUGAUCGGCCACACUGGAACUGAGAAACGGUCCAGACUCCUACGGGAGGCAGCAGUAGGGAAUCUGCCGCAAUGGGCGAAAGCCUGACGGAGCAACGCCGCGUGAGUGAUGAAGGUCUGCGGAUCGUAAAACUCUGUUAUUAGGGAAGAACAAAUGUGUAAGUAACUAUGCACGUCUGGACGGUACCUAAUCAGAAAGCCACGGCUAACUACGU
Molecule: ribosomal RNA, 496 nt
Filed under: uncultured bacterium
Lineage: Bacteria
Description: partial 16S ribosomal RNA
Rfam family: Bacterial small subunit ribosomal RNA
Source: RNAcentral